This 612-nucleotide ribosomal RNA is filed under the name Triticum aestivum (bread wheat). RNAcentral's name for it is "partial small subunit ribosomal RNA". The record is from RNAcentral. Lineage: Eukaryota; Viridiplantae; Streptophyta; Magnoliopsida; Poales; Poaceae.
AUGCUUCCCCGUGUUGUGAAUCUGCUGGUCACCAAGUCCGGCGGCCGCCGCCCGCCCUUCGACCUGCACCGCAUCGAUCCCUCAGGCUUAUUCUACCCUACCGGAUUACCAAAACCAGCAAAUCCAGCUCCGGCCACGGCUCGGCUUCCUCCCGCCGCCAUAUCCUUCGACUGCUCGUGCCCAUGGCAAGGAUACGGGUUCAUGGAUUUCAUGGCCCUCAACAACGACAUCAUCACCAUGGAGCACACGGCCCACACCCUCAUCUACGACGGCGCCUCGUGCGACGUCCGCAACAUGAACCAGAUGAUAGCCCCCAGGCGCACCUCCAUGUCCAUCACUGUUGGCGACACUCUUUACGUCAUGGACCUGCGGUCCAAGGUAUACUACUUCAAGGUUUUCAGCUACGGACGACCACCUCUGGGGUACUGGUACCGGAGUUGUCUCCAACCGCCGCCCCUUGAUCCCAACGACCCGCCUGUGCCCCACCGGCGCCCCUAUGCGGUUAGCGCCUACGCGGUGGUUGGCGACUCGCAGAUCUGGAUGUCCAUCAUGGGCGCCGGCACGUACUCGUUCGACGUAAAGAACGGCGCAUGGAGGAAGGCAGGCGAGUGA